GGCGGAGCCUGGUGGAGAUGUUGGGUUUUGUCCUUGCGUGGGCGCUGCUUGCUGGCAAAGUCUGGACAAGAGAAUUCUCUAGCACCAGGCUGUACAUAGAUCCUCUGGAUUCUCCAAGUCCGCUGGACGGCCGCAACAGAAGACACCUGGCGUGAGGCUGGAGAUGAGGUGUGCACACCCCCUGCUGGCAGUGAUGGAGAAUGUGCCAUCCAGAACACGGGAGCACUUCCCUCAGAGCCGCCCAGGAGCCAUCACGCUGUAUCAUUCCGCUGCAGAAGAAGAGGCAAAGGACACAGAGGUCUCCUAAACCCCUCAACUUUACCCCAGUCCCUCAGCUGUGACCAGGCCCCAGC
Long non-coding RNA from Chinchilla lanigera (long-tailed chinchilla), 353 nucleotides. RefSeq lists it as uncharacterized. The record is from RefSeq and is a predicted model, not a curated record. Lineage: Eukaryota; Metazoa; Chordata; Mammalia; Rodentia; Chinchillidae. The transcript has 3 exons.